This 370-nucleotide ribosomal RNA is filed under the name uncultured organism. Its description in RNAcentral is "bacterial SSU rRNA". It matches the Rfam family "Bacterial small subunit ribosomal RNA", at positions 526 to 896 of the family's 1533-position model. The record is from RNAcentral.
CGGAGGGUGCAAGCGUUAUCCGGAUUCACUGGGUUUAAAGGGUGCGUAGGCGGACAGGUAAGUCAGUGGUGAAAUCUCCGAGCUUAACUUCGGAAACUGCCGUUGAUACUAUCUGUCUUGAAUAUCAUGGAGGUAAGCAGAAUAUGUCAUGUAGCGGUGAAAUGCUUAGAUAUGACAUAGAAUACCGAUAGCGAAGGCAGCUUACUACAUGUUAAUUCGACGCUGAGGCACGAAAGCGUGGGGAGCAAACAGGAUUAGAUACCCUGGUAGUCCACGCCCUAAACGAUGGAUACUCGACAUCAGCGGUACACUGUUGGUGUCUGAGCGAAAGCAUUAAGUAUCCCACCUGGGAAGUACGACCGCAAGGUUG